CUUCUACCCACCCGUGACGCCGUCCACCUCCUUUGUGUCUCAAGCAAUUAUCUAAACAGUGUACCCUACCGCCUUCAAUGUGACCUUCUAGAACAGAACAGCUUGACUUUUGUUUUUGACUCUUUUAGCUUAGAGGGAAAGAAAAAGAUGAAGCCCUAAGGACUUUUAGCGGUGGCGGAGAGAUAGCUCUGCUCAACGGUCUAGCUCUGGGAGUUUGUUGAUUUUAAAGUGAACAUUGAAAAGACUAAGCAGGAGCCCACGGACUUGCUUCUAAAAAGGGAAAUUUGAGCCUCCUGAGAACCCUUCGUCGUUGAUGUCACUGAGGAAUGGAAGGAAACAGAUUUCUUCCUGGUGUAGUUUCCAUUUUUCUUCAACCUAGAACCGUGGAUACUAUGCAUAUCUAUAGACAAGUUUGGAUUGUACUGAGACUGCAUCGUAACCCACAAGUGCUGAGCACCUAGGAGAAAAGGUUUGGCUUUUAGGAUCAGGCCUACAAGAACACCCAGUAGUCCUGCAGAAAUGGGCAUUCUCCCCCUUCUGCUCAGGAAGACCUGCAAAGUCCACCUGCCAGCCAUCAUCCCAAGGAAAGCAGGAGAUGGCUCCCUAAACCAGGAGGGCACCAGGAGAGUGUGAGAUUUUGUUCUCCUCGGGGUUAUUUCUA
Molecule: long non-coding RNA, 661 nt
Organism: Heterocephalus glaber (naked mole-rat)
Lineage: Eukaryota; Metazoa; Chordata; Mammalia; Rodentia; Bathyergidae
Source: RefSeq, a predicted model, not a curated record